AUGGAAAUUUUAGGAUCGGCCUUUACUUUGUUCUAUGGCGUCUUCUCAUCUUCCUCACUAUCUCUGAAACCGCACGAGUUAUGUGAUUAAUCAUAUUAAUUCAAUCAACCAGGACGAGGUCUUGAAUGUAUGAUUUACAUCAGUGAGGCGGUGUAUUGCGAGUAUAAAUAGCCGGCAGGUGUUCCUCUGUUGACGGUUGUCGAGGUUAGGUUGAUGUGGUUCUGGAAGGCGUGGUGGGGAGAUGUAAAUGGAGAAUCGUGUCUCAAGAACAUCUCUCUCUGAUGGUCUUGAUGGACUUGAGGAAGGCCACUUAAAGGCUUCCUCUUCGUAUUCUCAUGGUACAAGUGAACGGGCGAUGAUGAAUCACUGGAGAGUCUGCAGGACAGAGUUUAAUUUCUAAAGGUGGGAACGGAUCUGAACUCUUAAGAGUAUAUCAACAAGGAUUUGUGACUGGAGACAUACAUGAAGAAGUUGAGAGUUAUAACCGCUUGCUUGACAAAGUGGUAGACUGGUAGUUCACAAUGGAAGAAGACUCACGAGCCUGCACAGAAAACUGCUGCCAUUGUGACAACCCUAUUGAAAUUAGAGCCACAUGUGUUCCCAAAACAAUCAUGGAUGAGAUGUGUUUAGUUGUUUCUCCAUUUGGCUGAGUUUCCUCCCAUUAAAUAUGUGCGGUAAUUGAUCUGAAAUUAUGUGAACUUUACAGGAACAUUGGAGAAAACGAACGCUCUGGCUGAUGUCAUAUAAGUUCCUGGAGGCACUUGCUGUUAUUUUUAGAAAAUAUUUAAUAAAUUUGUUAUGUAAUAUUGGAAUCUUUUUAUUGUUCCAUUACUUAUUUAUCUAAUCUAUUAAAACAGGAGUACAAAAUUAAACUUA
Molecule: long non-coding RNA, 876 nt
Organism: Brassica napus (rape)
Lineage: Eukaryota; Viridiplantae; Streptophyta; Magnoliopsida; Brassicales; Brassicaceae
Exons: 5
Source: RefSeq, a predicted model, not a curated record